AGAGAUUAUUUUUUGAUUUACCAGUUAAUUUGCCUAUGAAAUGAAUAAAAUGAACUGAGCUAGGUGAAAGGAAUCAUGAUACUGUGUGUUAAAAUGAACCUGCCCUGUAUUCUGCCUCAGUUGGAUUCAAUGACUUCAUCCUUGAUUCCCUAAACCUGAAGUCAUGGGACACCCAUCAGAAACUGUUCCGGUCACCCUGUUAGUGUCUAAACCACAACCGCAGAGCCAGCCUCGUGGAUGACAUGGGGGUGGGGGACUGGAGCCACUCCCAUCCACACAGUGGGACAAAUUCUGAAUGGAUUAUGAACCUACUCAUCUGAAAUGAAUUAAGAAACUAAAGCACAGUGUAAUCUGAGACCGUGUAAGAUAAAUGGUGCUGUGUAUCAACUUUGUAUUUGGCGUUGUGUGGGCUACCCGUGCAGAGAGAAUCACACAAGGGAGGAGUGUGGUCUGUAUCAUGACACCAUGGUUAUUUGCAGGUUAAGGCUUCUCCCGCCAAGCCUCAAGACCUGAGUUCGAUCCCUGGGAUCUACAUGGUGAAAGCAGAGAAAUGACUCCCAUGGGUUUGCCUCUGACCUCAUAUGCAUGCCGUACUUACCAGCCCCAUGCUGCCGACAAAAUAAAUGAAUGUGAAAAAUA
Molecule: non-coding RNA, 639 nt
Organism: Peromyscus maniculatus bairdii (prairie deer mouse)
Lineage: Eukaryota; Metazoa; Chordata; Mammalia; Rodentia; Cricetidae
Source: RefSeq, a predicted model, not a curated record